RNAcentral lists this ribosomal RNA (444 nucleotides) under uncultured bacterium. RNAcentral describes it as "partial 16S ribosomal RNA". It matches the Rfam family "Bacterial small subunit ribosomal RNA", at positions 338 to 795 of the family's 1533-position model. The record is from RNAcentral.
CCUACGGGAGGCAGCUGUGGGGGAUAUUGGACAAUGGGGGGGAACCCUGAUCCAGCGACGCCGCGUGAGUGAAGAAGUAUUUCGGUAUGUAAAGCUCUGUCAGCAGGGAAGAAAGCAAUGACGGUACCUGACCAAGAAGCCCCGGCUAACUACGUGCCAGCAGCCGCGGUAAUACGUAGGGGGCAAGCGUUAUCCGGAAUUACUGGGUGUAAAGGGAGCGUAGACGGCUGUGCAAGUCUGGAGUGAAAGGCGGGGGCCCAACCCCCGGACUGCUCUGGAAACGGUAUGGCUGGAGUGCAGGAGAGGUAGGCGGAAUUCCCGGUGUAGCGGUGAAAUGCGUAGAGAGCGGGAGGAACACCAGUGGCGAAGGCGGCCUACUGGGCUCUAACUGACGCUGAGGCACGAAAGCGUGGGUAGCAAACAGGAUUAGAUACCCUGGUAGUC